UACGUAGGGGCAAGCGUUAUCCGGAUUUACUGGGUGUAAAGGGAGCGCAGACGGAACUGCAAGUCUGAUGUGAAAGCCCGGGGCUCAACCGCGGGACUGCAUCGGAUACUGUGGAUCUGGAGUGCCGGAGGGGCAAGCGGAAUUCCUGGUGUAGCGGUGAAAUGCGUAGAUAUCAGGAGGAACACCGGCGGCGAAGGCGGCUUGCUGGACGGCAACUGACGUUGAGGCUCGAAAGCGUGGGGAGCAAACAGGAUUAGGAUACCCCGGUA
Molecule: ribosomal RNA, 269 nt
Filed under: uncultured prokaryote
Description: partial 16S ribosomal RNA
Rfam family: Bacterial small subunit ribosomal RNA
Source: RNAcentral